CAGACCCUGGACGGGGGCGACCGGAGGCCAAGGGCAAGCGGAGGCGGGCGGCGAAGGAUGGCAGCCCGGACCCAGUCCCACCACCAUGGGUCUCAACUGCUCGGGGCAGGACUGUCCCCCUUCCCAACGCUCGGCGUUACGGGGCACAGACCAUCCAUGGCCGGAGGGAGCUCCUGAAGGGACUGCAGCAGCAACCAUGGCUGGAACUCUGUUUCUAGAGGCUGGGAAGUUCAAGAUCAAGGUGUUGACAGAGUCCACUGCCUGGUGUGCAGAUGCCUAAUUUCUUGCUGUGUCCUCAGAUGGCUGAAAGGAGAGAGAGAGAAAAGAGAACUCUAAUGAAGUCAACUUGCCAGUUGAUCCACUCAAGAAAUGAUGUCAUAUGAAGACUCAGCAGUGAUCUCUGUUGCUGGCAUAUCAAACAUUAGGCAAUAUUAAUGAUUAGACUAUCCUCGAUGGAAGUUUGUACCUUUAGACUGCCCUCCUCCAAUUCUCUCUCCCCACACCAGACACCCACU
This is a long non-coding RNA of Balaenoptera acutorostrata (minke whale), 515 nucleotides long. RefSeq lists it as uncharacterized. The record is from RefSeq and is a predicted model, not a curated record. The transcript has 4 exons. Lineage: Eukaryota; Metazoa; Chordata; Mammalia; Artiodactyla; Balaenopteridae.